AUGCUUGCUUCGGCAGCACAUAUACUAAAACUGGAACGAUGCAGAGAAGAUUAGCAUGGCCCCUGCGCAAGGAUGACACAAAUUUUGUGGGGGAAAAAAAAUACAGCUUU
This 110-nucleotide small nuclear RNA is filed under the name Nannospalax galili (Upper Galilee mountains blind mole rat). The record is from RNAcentral. Lineage: Eukaryota; Metazoa; Chordata; Mammalia; Rodentia; Spalacidae.